AUGUUUGUUUCACAUUCUCCCAUGAGGUUCUCUUCAGGCCUCACUGUUAUAAAAAACUACACUACAAAAAGAAGUAACGAAAUAUUAAAACACGAAGGCAAGCAUGACCAUAAGCAGAGACAACAAGUCACAAGGGUGCUUUUAUCCUUCCUUUCUUGGCAGAGGACCGAGUGCCUGUGUUUGAUCAGUAACACAAAUAAGUUAACCAGCUGCUCUUCCACUAGCAUGAAGGACUUGGGCUCCGAUCCUUCCCAAGAAUUAAGCUGCCAUUCAGCACAUCCCUUAGUGUUUUGGGAAUUUACAUUAAUAUUAAGUUCAUAUUCUCAAUAUGUUCCUGUGGCUUUACAUUGGUUGCCCUAAUUCAAGAGGGAUACGGAAAAAUUGGACAGGCCACCUCCACAUUCCUGAAGACUCAUACAGAUGAGUAAGCCAUUGAAUAACUCAAUCAUAAUAAAGAAGGUUAAAGUAGUUGGACUUGUUUAGCC
RNAcentral lists this long non-coding RNA (485 nucleotides) under Coturnix japonica (Japanese quail). RNAcentral's name for it is "lncRNA (ENSCJPG00005010373.1)". The record is from RNAcentral. Lineage: Eukaryota; Metazoa; Chordata; Aves; Galliformes; Phasianidae.